Molecule: ribosomal RNA, 303 nt
Filed under: uncultured bacterium
Lineage: Bacteria
Description: bacterial SSU rRNA
Rfam family: Bacterial small subunit ribosomal RNA
Source: RNAcentral
CCCUUACGGGCUGGGCUACACACGUGCUACAAUGGUGGUGACAGUGGGCAGCGAGCACGCGAGUGUGAGCUAAUCUCCAAAAGCCAUCUCAGUUCGGAUUGCACUCUGCAACUCGAGUGCAUGAAGUUGGAAUCGCUAGUAAUCGCGGAUCAGCACGCCGCGGUGAAUACGUUCCCGGGCCUUGUACACACCGCCCGUCACACCAUGGGAGUUGGUUUUACCCGAAGGCGCUGCGCUAACCUUAAAGGGGGCAGGCGACCACGGUAGGGUCAGCGACUGGGGUGAAGUCGUAACAAGGUAACC